This 253-nucleotide ribosomal RNA is filed under the name uncultured bacterium. RNAcentral's name for it is "partial 16S ribosomal RNA". It matches the Rfam family "Bacterial small subunit ribosomal RNA", at positions 524 to 776 of the family's 1533-position model. The record is from RNAcentral.
UACGUAGGGUGCGAGCGUUGUCCGGAAUUAUUGGGCGUAAAGGGCUCGUAGGCGGUUUGUCGCGUCGGGAGUGAAAUCCACUGGCUUAACUGGUGGCUUGCUUUCGAUACGGGCAGACUGGAGGUAUGCAGGGGAGAACGGAAUUCCUGGUGUAGCGGUGAAAUGCGCAGAUAUCAGGAGGAACACCGGUGGCGAAGGCGGUUCUCUGGGCCGAUAUCGACGCUGAGGAGCGAAAGCGUGGGGAGCGAACAGG